This 458-nucleotide ribosomal RNA is filed under the name uncultured bacterium. RNAcentral's name for it is "partial 16S ribosomal RNA". It matches the Rfam family "Bacterial small subunit ribosomal RNA", at positions 338 to 795 of the family's 1533-position model. The record is from RNAcentral.
CCUACGGGAGGCAGCAGUGAGGAAUAUUGGUCAAUGGGCGAGAGCCUGAACCAGCCAAGUCGCGUGAGGGAGUACUGCCCUAUGGGUUGUAAACCUCUUUUGUCGGGGAGCAAAAGCCGGACGUGUCCGGCUGUGAGAGUAUCCGAAGAAAAUGCAUCGGCUAACUCCGUGCCAGCAGCCGCGGUAAUACGGAGGAUGCGAGCGUUAUCCGGAUUUAUUGGGUUUAAAGGGUGCGCAGGCGGAUUUUUAAGACAGCGGUAAAAUCGUGGGGCUCAACCCCAUCCAGCCGUUGAAACUGGGGAUCUAGAGUGUGCGAGAGGUAUGCGGAAUGCGUGGUGUAGCGGUGAAAUGCAUAGAUAUCACGCAGAACCCCGAUUGCGAAGGCAGCAUACCGGUGCACAACUGACGCUCAGGCACGAAAGCGUGGGUAUCGAACAGGAUUAGAUACCCGGGUAGUC